Molecule: ribosomal RNA, 449 nt
Filed under: uncultured bacterium
Lineage: Bacteria
Description: partial 16S ribosomal RNA
Rfam family: Bacterial small subunit ribosomal RNA
Source: RNAcentral
AACGAACGCUGGCGGCAUGCCUAACACAUGCAAGUCGAACGAGACCUUCGGGUCUAGUGGCGGACGGGUGAGUAACGCGUGGGAACCUGCACUUCAGUGGGGGAUAACGACGGGAAACUGUCGCUAAUACCGCAUACGCCCUACGGGGGAAAGAUUUAUCGCUGAAGGAUGGGCCCGCGUCGGAUUAGCUAGGUGGUGAGGUAAUGGCUCACCAAGGCGACGAUCCGUGGCUGGUCUAAGAGGAUGAUCAGCCACACUGGGACUGAGACACGGCCCAGACUCCUACGGGAGGCAGCAGUGGGGAAUAUUGGACAAUGGGAGAAACCCUGAUCCAGCAAUGCCGCGUGAGUGAUGAAGGCCUUAGGGUUGUAAAGCUCUUUCGGUGGUGACGAUGAUGACGGUAACCACAGAAGAAGCCCCGGCUAACUUCGUGCCAGCAGCCGCAGUAA